CUGGCUGGGGUGGUGUCUUCUAGUUCCGCCCAGACUGUUUGGCUUCGGGUCUUGGGGCGGGGCGUUUGUGGACCACGCCCCGAGCAGGUCGGCUUGUAGGGGCUGGAUAGGGUCUCUUCAGGUCUUACUAUAUGGUACUGGACCUCAGGUCAUGGAAUGGAUGCUGCCCACAGUUAAGGUUCAUCUUUCUGGCUCAGCUAACCCAGUCUAGAAACUUCCUCACAGGCUGCCAGCAGAAGAUGUGGUUCAGAUUAGAGGUGUGUCUCCCCACCUCAAGAUCUGUAUUAAAGGAUUGUGUCGUCCUACCUCAAGAUUCCUAUCAAAGGCCUGUGUCUUACAGCCUCAAGAUCCA
Molecule: long non-coding RNA, 352 nt
Organism: Alexandromys fortis (reed vole)
Lineage: Eukaryota; Metazoa; Chordata; Mammalia; Rodentia; Cricetidae
Exons: 3
Source: RefSeq, a predicted model, not a curated record